Molecule: long non-coding RNA, 294 nt
Filed under: Prunus persica (peach)
Lineage: Eukaryota; Viridiplantae; Streptophyta; Magnoliopsida; Rosales; Rosaceae
Description: long non-coding RNA (PPER_LNC008569)
Source: RNAcentral
CCUGAUCCGUCAAAUCCUUUAAUACUGUCAUUUUCAUCCUCGCAGGUCUCGGAAACAUAAAGUUAACCGAGCCGCAUUCCUCGCAGAUCUCGGAGAUACCACUUCAAUCUGAGCCGUAAUCCUCGCAGGUCUCGGAGAUACCACUUCAAUCCGAUCUGCAUUCCUCACAGGUCUCAGAGAUAACACUUCAAUCUGAGCCGCAACCCUCACAGGUCUCGAAGAUACUGCUUCAAUCCGAGCCGCAUUCCUUGCAGGUCUCAGAGAUAACACUUCAAUCUGAGCCACAAUCCUCGC